RNAcentral lists this ribosomal RNA (253 nucleotides) under uncultured bacterium. Its description in RNAcentral is "partial 16S ribosomal RNA". It matches the Rfam family "Bacterial small subunit ribosomal RNA", at positions 524 to 776 of the family's 1533-position model. The record is from RNAcentral.
UACGUAGGGUGCAAGCGUUGUCCGGAAUUAUUGGGCGUAAAGAGCUCGUAGGCGGUUUGUCGCGUCUGCUGUGAAAACUGGAGGCUCAACCUCCAGCCUGCAGUGGGUACGGGCAGACUAGAGUGCGGUAGGGGAGAUUGGAAUUCCUGGUGUAGCGGUGGAAUGCGCAGAUAUCAGGAGGAACACCGAUGGCGAAGGCAGGUCUCUGGGCCAUUACUGACACUGAGAAGCGAAAGCAUGGGGAGCGAACAGG